AUUGAACGCUGGCGGCAGGCCUAACACAUGCAAGUCGAACGGUAACAGGAAACAGCUUGCUGUUUCGCUGACGAGUGGCGGACGGGUGAGUAAUGUCUGGGAAACUGCCUGAUGGAGGGGGAUAACUACUGGAAACGGUAGCUAAUACCGCAUAACGUCGCAAGACCAAAGAGGGGGACCCUCGGGCCUCUUGCCAUCGGAUGUGCCCAGAUGGGAUUAGCUUGUUGGUGGGGUAACGGCUCACCAAGGCGACGAUCCCUAGCUGGUCUGAGAGGAUGACCAGCCACACUGGAACUGAGACACGGUCCAGACUCCUACGUGAGGCAGCAGUGGGGAAUAUUGCACAAUGGGCGCAAGCCUGAUGCAGCCAUGCCGCGUGUAUGAAGAAGGCCUUCGGGUUGUAAAGUACUUUCAGCGGGGAGGAAGGGAGUAAAGUUAAUACCUUUGCUCAUUGACGUUACCCGCAGAAGAAGCACCGGCUAACUCCGUG
This 490-nucleotide ribosomal RNA is filed under the name uncultured bacterium. RNAcentral's name for it is "partial 16S ribosomal RNA". It matches the Rfam family "Bacterial small subunit ribosomal RNA", at positions 30 to 507 of the family's 1533-position model. The record is from RNAcentral.